This 4855-nucleotide unclassified non-coding RNA is filed under the name Pomacea canaliculata. RNAcentral's name for it is "uncharacterized LOC112566530, transcript variant X8". Lineage: Eukaryota; Metazoa; Mollusca; Gastropoda; Architaenioglossa; Ampullariidae. The record is from RNAcentral.
GAGCUGUAGACACCACUAGUCUCCUAGCCACCUUGUUUGUGAGGGCGGUGCCAUUCUCCCCUCGCCGCCUUACCCUCUGAGGAGUCGGAUAACCAUUUCACAGCUGGAUGCUGUGUAGGGAUGAGGGGGAGGGUUGUGUAAGUACCCUGCGUCACACAAGUAUCAUGAUACCCGGCUACUGUGAGUGGUUUGGGGUUCGGACCCCGCUGCUGUAGCCACUAGGCUUUCCUCGUGGUGCCAGAUAUGUGCUCAUGCAAAUCACUAGCAGGAUUACCUGACAGUCUUCUUUUCUUUCUUUUUUUUAUUGUUAUCGCUGAUGUUUGUUUUAUGAUUACUCUUGAUAUGUACUUGUUUUUUUAAAUUUGUUGCUGGUAUCAGCGCUGUUUUCUUUUUCUUUCGCUUUCUUCUUGCCAUCCUCUUCCUCCAUUAAACCCCGCGAGAACCAAUAUAAUCACGUGUCACGUGGCCUGAUGGUUAAUGCGUGUAUAAUAUUGAAGCUGACACCCUGCCUCCGCUAAAAUAAACAUCUUGAAGAAAAUCUCAUUUUACAGUAAAAUGCAAGGACCUUAAGCCAGGCUUUUACCGGGAUUUGUCCCGAUUUCACUGGAAGAUAACUCGUUUUUCACCAAGCUGUUCUUUCGUGAGAAUAUCUGCCAGGCAGGCCUGAAGUGAGUCACACGAGCUCUUUGAGCUCAGACCCACGGCUCUUUGUGGAUUUGAUCUCUACUUCCGGUGAGGGAGUGCGCGUGCGCGCUUGCCUACGAGCACGUUCAUAAGUGUGUGCGCGAGUGUGGAAACAGGACGUGUGAUUACUUGUCACCUUGUGGUGUGUCACAUGCUAGGGAGGAUUGAAUGACACCCUGCUGUCUACAACGGGUGGAGGGUGGCGGGUGGCCUUAUCAGCUGCGACAAUAGUGAAAGUUCUUGUUGCGAUUACCUCCUUGAAUGGCAUUUGCAGCCAGUGACAGUGACAGUGACAGUGACAGUGACAGUCGUGUGGCAGAAGGAUCAAUACAAGUCUCCUGGAGGCCAUGUCAGGAGAUAUGUAGUAACGCCACAGAUAUAUUGGAGAUAUCAUUAAUGCUACAUGUGAUCAGUUGAUAUUGGUAACGCUAUAUGAUCAACAGAUGCCGGUGACGUCACUAACGACCAGUGGAUGCCGGUGACGUCACUAACGACCAGUGGAUGCCGGUGACGUCACUAACGAUCAGCCACGUGCUGGUGCUGCAGGUGUUGGUGUGGUUAGAAGCUGACUUUUCACUGGAUGUUAACAGAGACCAGUGCAGUUGUAAGAAAAAGUCUCAUACAGUGUUACUGUCACCCGAAUACUCUGGUAGCGACACACAGUUCUCUGUCACUGUCAGCACCUGCCAUUAGCACAGUUUGCAGGUAACAACAGGUGGCACUAGGUUAGCUGCUGCUAGACACAGUUCUCUGUCACUGUCAGCACCUGCCAUUAGCACAGUUUGCAGACACACCCACUCAUUUCGCUGAACAGACGGAGGUGCUACAAAAAGUGCAGCAUGCUGUUAUUUUCUGUCUGUGUAAGGUCACUGCAGUUGUUUGUGUUUGCUCUGUUCAGCAAUAUCUAUAUUUUACAGAGACCGAACACCUCUUGAAGUGCUUGCUAGCCAUUGUUCUUUUGAUGGCACCGCCACCCACCCACCCCAAACAAUGAAACCUUUCAUUGCUCUCCGCUGGAAACUCACUGCCACUUGUUGUGACAUGACUGCAGUGACAGGGUGGAGAAGGGUUUGUUGUUGAUGAAGGAUGCGGAGAUUCGUGCAUGUAGUAGUAGUUGUGUCACAGACUGGCGGAGUCAUUGUCACAUUGUCACAUUGUCACAUUAUCACAUUAUCACAUUGUCACAUUAUCACAUUAUCACAUUAUCAAAUUUUCCUCCUCAACUUUGCUGUGUUUUGAUUUCACUCGUCUUGUGUAUGCACCCUGUACAACCUAACCUCUAUCUACACCAUCGUCUUUGAUCCCGAGCACGGGGACCAUUUAAUAUCCCCGGCUGUUCACAUCUCCACUUUCACCUGCGACACCUGGCCGCCUGCUGACGUCAGAGGGAGUUUGCACGAGGGCGACUGUUGACGGUUGCCCUCACCACAGACUCACUUGUCCGACAGGUUUUCUGACAAGGUGCCGGCCUUUCGCCGCUUGUCCACACUGCAGCUGCUGGCUUUGGGAUGCCUGACACUUUACAGCAACACAGGUUUCCAGACACAAAUGUAGAACAGCGGGGGAGUAGCUGAGAGUCCAUAAAGGUUCCACACGAAUGCACAAGUGUAGAGCGAGUGUUGCAGAACUAAUGAGUGGCUGACACCGCCACUUCUCGUGCUCACAGCCACGUGCACUGACUAAUGCAGGUUGACACUGGGGUCAGCGGGCUGAGGGGCUGUCGUCAUCAUUAGUUUGUGUACCUACAAGUAGAGUCUGGUGUCGUCCGGUGCACCAAGACACAGUCGAUCGAUCAAACGUUUGCAGCCAGGUAUCCAGAUUCUGGUGCAACUUCUGUCAACAAAGCUCCACCCGCCCAACUGACUUCAUUGCAGGCGCUUCACACAAUCGCCUCGUUGUUUGACAGAAAGGAAAAUACAGGGAUACCCGGGUUGACACCCAGUUACAUGUGUUGACAGGACUCAGUCACAGCCACCUGGCACAAUGAUAUCGGGUAGCAGGCUGGCGUCCUCCCACCCUGGUGUCCGAUCGUCAAGAUGUCUGAGAACAGUGACAGGAGACUACAGCUCUUCUCCACACCUGCAAGCGUAUCAAUGGCCACCGCCCUCCACCCGUGAGGAUGGAAGACAGGAGACAGCCAAACGACACGACAUCCGGGACAAGCUGUACAUCAGCUCACUGAGCCCCGCCAGACCUCACCCUGGCCUCGUCACAUCAGCCGGUGUGCACACACCUACCCGACCGUUCACAGUUGCCGACCCUGAAAGACACAAUAUGUUAAGAAGCUGCUCAAGGACCGGAGCAUGGAGACAUCAGGUGGUCAAACACAGUUUGGCUGAGGCUGGUUGUCAUGGGAACCCGACUGGCGUGUGCGCGAUGACUACGGCGCAAAAGAAAGAGAGUGUGGAGCUACCCGUAAACACAGCAUGACGACCACCACUGUGACGAUAACCAGGGGAACAAGAGUAAAAUUUAUACGAAUCUUCAUCAUUUGAAUGGCACUGCAAGGACAUGUAAGCUGGUGUCUGUGGGUCCAGAGCCAGCAGAGGAGGAAGUGAUGGCAGCAGGACAAGACAAGUGGACAGCGCCGGAGUUGUGGCCCUUCUGUCCGACACCAAGGCCCGCCAGCAACGACCAGCGCCAGUGUCUGAAGGGCAGAGAGGGAUGUCUACACUCCAGGCUUAGACAGUGCAUCCGCUACGUCACUAACAGACAGCGAAUGAAGCGAAAGAGUGAGAUGCCGGUAAAGAGCGAGGACGUGUCUUCACGCAUGUACAUCGUCACACGUGCGGCCUCGUCGUCUUCAUCGCCGAUGCAGGUGGACCCUAGCGACCUCUACAAGGCCUUCAUGGACACAAUCGCGCGCCAGACUCACCUGGACUCCACGGCCGUCCACAGACCUUUCUACCGACACAAAUCACAGAGGCUGGCCUGCCAGACCAUUGACAUCACGUGACCUUUAGGACGGCGGCACCCAGCAGCCAAGUGUGACUGUGCCGUUAAUAAAUAAAUGCUUAUUUCAAAGAAUGCACCUCAGGUAAAUCAUCAGCCAAAUCUUGCUGCGCCUCAGGCCUUAUGUCUCCCACACAUUCCUUCAGCUUGUUUAUAUAAAUCUCCUAUAGAGGAUGUGGUCUCCUCGGUCAUGUUUUUACAAUGUACCAGUGCAAGACAAUAACAGCUUGAGUCGUGCUGUGUACACCUGCUCACAUGUUAUGAUGUACAGCCUAGACUGACGGUCAGACUCCGCAAAAGACAAAUAUUUUCAAAAGUGUCUGCAAUACCAGGUGAUGACAAGAUGACAAGAGUUCCGUCAGAUUUCUGUGCGCCUGCAUGCAGGACCAACAGACUGAAGUCGUCCUUCGUUGUUUCGGUCAUGUGACUUCUAAACGCUACAGUGUGAAUGAAUUGAGAUCAUGUGUGUGUGAUUUGUGACUGAGGUUUUCCUGGUGUGGCGGGUAUGAAAGUGGUAUGUGCUGAGGAUUCUUGAUGCUGUGCUGUGUGGCUCCUUAUAGAGCUGCUCUUUCCAAAACGUUUACACUGCUUUUACACCAUGUGUGAUAUUAGGAAUACUUACAGCCCUUUUACUUCUCGACCAAAACCAAAAUAUUAUUGUGCUUAUUGCAAUUUUCUGUUACAAGGGCCAGCAGGGUAUUUAGAACUCACUCUGACACACUCACCACUCGGGCUCCAAGGCUACAUUCACACCCUCCCUGAAAACAUAUCUGUCCACAAAGUACUGACCCUGAAUUACUAAUCUUCACACCCUGGCAGUACUGUCAUGUUAACAAUCAUGUAUCGACUCCACCUGACACUGUUUAUAUGCCUUCAUCCAUUGCUUUAUAUUCUACUUUUGUACCUCAUCUUUAUGCCGUUUAGUUUCUAUAAGUACCUACUGUCUACUGUUAUCUUGUACCUCAUCUUUAUGUUGUUUAGUGUCCCUAGAAGUACCUCACUGUCUGCUCGCUGUUAUCUUUCAUUUAUCAUUGGUCUGACAGUGCGAUAUACCUUGGUCAUGAUGAUCACCUUGUAAGUACCCAUUAUUAUUAUUAAAGAAUGUACAGGGUUCAGAGUUUGUAAGAUAGAUGCAGCAUUGGUGGUGGAAACAGAUGUAUCCUCUAUUGAGAGAAGCAUUCACUGAUCUUUUUUGAAAAGCGUUUGCAUAACACAGAAA